RNAcentral lists this ribosomal RNA (304 nucleotides) under uncultured bacterium. Its description in RNAcentral is "partial 16S ribosomal RNA". It matches the Rfam family "Bacterial small subunit ribosomal RNA", at positions 506 to 809 of the family's 1533-position model. The record is from RNAcentral.
CAGCAGCAGCCGCGGUAAUACGGAGGGGGCUAGCGUUGUUCGGAAUUACUGGGCGUAAAGCGUACGUAGGCGGCUUUGUAAGUUAGAGGUGAAAGCCUGGUGCUCAACACCAGAACUGCCUUUAAGACUGCAUCGCUUGAACGUCGGAGAGGUGAGUGGAAUUCCGAGUGUAGAGGUGAAAUUCGUAGAUAUUCGGAAGAACACCAGUGGCGAAGGCGGCUCACUGGACGACUGUUGACGCUGAGGUACGAAAGCGUGGGGAGCAAACAGGAUUAGAUACCCGAGUAGUCCCUGUCUCUUAUAU